RNAcentral lists this ribosomal RNA (253 nucleotides) under uncultured Dechloromonas sp. RNAcentral's name for it is "partial 16S ribosomal RNA". It matches the Rfam family "Bacterial small subunit ribosomal RNA", at positions 524 to 776 of the family's 1533-position model. Lineage: Bacteria; Pseudomonadati; Pseudomonadota; Betaproteobacteria; Rhodocyclales; Azonexaceae. The record is from RNAcentral.
UACGUAGGGUGCGAGCGUUAAUCGGAAUUACUGGGCGUAAAGCGUGCGCAGGCGGUUUUGUAAGACAGAUGUGAAAUCCCCGGGCUCAACCUGGGACCUGCAUUUGUGACCGCAAGGCUAGAGUACGGCAGAGGGGGGUGGAAUUCCACGUGUAGCAGUGAAAUGCGUAGAGAUGUGGAGGAACACCAAUGGCGAAGGCAGCCCCCUGGGUCGAUACUGACGUUCAUGCACGAAAGCGUGGGGAGCAAACAGG